This 342-nucleotide unclassified non-coding RNA is filed under the name soil metagenome. RNAcentral describes it as "partial contains 5.8S ribosomal RNA, internal transcribed spacer 2, and large subunit ribosomal RNA". The stretch from base 1 to 120 matches the Rfam family "5.8S ribosomal RNA", at positions 35 to 154 of the family's 154-position model. The record is from RNAcentral.
GAUGAAGAACGCAGCGAAAUGCGAUAAGUAGCGUGAAUUGCAGAAUUCAGUGAAUCAUCGAAUCUUUGAACGCACAUUGCGGCCAUAGGUAUUCCUUUGGCCAUGCCUGUUCGAGCGUCAUUUACACCCUCAAGCCUAGCUUGGUGUUGGGCGUCUGUCCCGCCGUUCUCGCGCGCGGACUCGCCUCAAAGUCAUUGGCGGCGGUCGUGCCGGCCCCCUCGCGCAGCACAUUUGCGCUUCUCGGAGGCCCGGCGGAUCCGCGCUCCAGCAAGACCUUUCACGACUUGACCUCGGAUCAGGUAGGGAUACCCGCUGAACUUAAGCAUAUCAAUAAGCGGAGGA